UGGGGCAGACUGUGGACGACCCCUACACCACUUUUGUCAAGAUGCUGCCAGACAAGGACUGCCGCUAUGCUCUCUAUGACGCAACCUAUGAGACCAAGGAGAGCAAGAAGGAGGACCUGGUAUUCAUUUUCUGGUGAGCGCCUUACCUCCUUAUCCUAGCUCUUUUGCCUGCCUCCUGUUCCCUACCUCAGAGCUUAACAGAAAUUGUCCCAGAUCUUGGUGGGGAGGGUUAGGGUUGUAACAAAACCCUCCCAGAGAGGAGCUAGGCAUAGUGGUGUCGGUACCCAGGUUGAGGGAGGCAGAGGGAAGCAGAUGUCUGUUGACUUGGAGACUAGCCUGGUCUGCAGGAAAACCCUGUUUUUCAAAAACAACCACCACCAAAACCAGUGGGGAACUUGGGAAAAGAAAAUCCCCACUGUUGAGUAUCCUAAAGGUUUCUUCUCCGGAGUCUUCUCUUCCUGGAGGUAGCUGCAUCCUUUUCCUCGCUUUGUCUUCAGGGCCCCCGAGAGUGCACCCCUUAAGAGCAAAAUGAUCUAUGCCAGCUCCAAGGAUGCCAUCAAGAAGAAACUGACAGGUAAGGAUCCCUUCCUUUGUAUGCACUUCUGUGUGAGCCAUGAUGGCAGUUUGGAAUACAUGACAAUACUGGGGUCCUCCGUUGUCCUGACAGCUGGGGUACCUUCUUCCUGUCCUCUGUUCUGAUGGCUCCUUCCUAGAUAAAGCCUCCCCAGUCCAGUGCUUCCUGUUCACUGCUCUCCUUUUUACCCCAUAGGAAUCAAGCACGAAUUACAAGCUAACUGCUACGAGGA
RNAcentral lists this long non-coding RNA (806 nucleotides) under Rattus norvegicus (Norway rat). RNAcentral's name for it is "long non-coding RNA NONRATT001438". Lineage: Eukaryota; Metazoa; Chordata; Mammalia; Rodentia; Muridae. The record is from RNAcentral.